This 293-nucleotide ribosomal RNA is filed under the name uncultured bacterium. Its description in RNAcentral is "partial 16S ribosomal RNA". It matches the Rfam family "Archaeal small subunit ribosomal RNA", at positions 455 to 747 of the family's 1478-position model. The record is from RNAcentral.
GUGCCAGCCGCCGCGGUAAUACCGGCAGCACGAGUGAUGGCCGAUAUUAUUGGGCCUAAAGCGUUCGUAGCCGGCCGGACAAGUUCGUUGGGAAAUCCACGCGCUCAACGCGUGGGCGUCCAGCGAAUACUGUUCGGCUUGGGGCCAGAAGACUCAAGGGGUACGUCCGGGGUAGGAGUGAAAUCCCGUAAUCCUGGACGGACCGCCGAUGGCGAAAGCACCUUGAGAGGAUGGACCCGACGGUGAGGGACGAAAGCCAGGGUCUCGAACCGGAUUAGAUACCCGGGUAGUCC